This is a long non-coding RNA of Parambassis ranga (Indian glassy fish), 225 nucleotides long. Lineage: Eukaryota; Metazoa; Chordata; Actinopteri; Ambassidae. The record is from Ensembl.
UGACAGCUGUCUGCCUCUGCAGAACAUGCUGGAUCAGGACGCCCACCAUUACGGACUUAUAUAAGAGCAGGACAAUGACAUGUGUCCAGUAUCAGGUCUGCUUGUUGGAAAAGGAGGGUCCUCCACAACCACACAGCAGCGCAGUUUACAGGACUAAAUCUGACCUCAGCUGAGUGAACAAACAAUCCACAUAACCAGAGAAUAACUGUUUGUGUAAUGUUCAGU